UACGGGGGGGGCAAGCGUUGUUCGGAAUUACUGGGCGUAAAGGGCUCGUAGGUGGCCAACUAAGUCAGACGUGAAAUCCCCAGGCUCAACUUGGGAACUGCGUCUGAUACUGGAUGGCUUGAAUUCGGGAGAGGGAUGCGGAAUUCCAGGUGUAGCGGUGAAAUGCGUAGAUAUCUGGAGGAACACCGGUGGCGAAGGCGGCAUCCUGGACCAUAACUGACACUGAUAAGCGAAAGCCAGGGGAGCAAACGGG
RNAcentral lists this ribosomal RNA (253 nucleotides) under uncultured bacterium. RNAcentral's name for it is "partial 16S ribosomal RNA". It matches the Rfam family "Bacterial small subunit ribosomal RNA", at positions 524 to 776 of the family's 1533-position model. The record is from RNAcentral.